GCCUAGCCGUAAUACACAAUUAAAUUACCAAUUGUCCGCCAAACAACUACGAGUCAUACUUAAAACUUAAAAGACUUGACGGUACUUCACCACAACCUAGAGGAGCCUGUCUAAUAACCGACAAUCCACGAUUAACCCCACCCUUUCUCGCCCAACAGUCUAUAUACCGCCGUCGCCAGCUUACCUUGUAAAAGAAAUAAAGUGAGCCAAAGAGUACUACACUAAAACGACAGGUCGAGGUGUAACCAAUGAAAGGGACCAAGAUGGGCUACAUUCUCCCAGCCGAGAAUACGAAUAGCACUAUGAAACUAGUGCCUGAAGGCGGAUUUAGCAGUAAGAUAAGAAUAAAACACCUAACUGAACACAACGCAAUGAAGUGCGCACACACCGCCCGUCAUCCCUGCCACCACAACACUUAUAUCAAUAAACCAACUAAAAAAAUCAAACAGGGCAAGUCGUAACAUGGUAAGUGUACUGGAAAGUGUACUUAGAAA
Molecule: ribosomal RNA, 494 nt
Filed under: Protobothrops flavoviridis
Lineage: Eukaryota; Metazoa; Chordata; Lepidosauria; Squamata; Viperidae
Description: partial 12S ribosomal RNA
Rfam family: Bacterial small subunit ribosomal RNA
Source: RNAcentral